UCUCCGUUGGUGAACCAGCGGAGGGAUCAUUACCGAGUGUAAAAACUCCCAAACCAUUGUGAACCUACCACUGUUGCUUCGGCGGCCUCGCCCCGGGCGCGUUCGCGCGGCCCGGACCCAGGCGUCCGCCGGAGGCUCCAAACUCUUGUCUUUUAGUGUAUUUCUGAGUGGCAUAAGCAAAUAAAUCAAAACUUUCAGCAACGGAUCUCUUGGUUCUGGCAUCGAUGAAGAACGCAGCAAAAUGCGAUAAGUAAUGUGAAUUGCAGAAUUCAGUGAAUCAUCGAAUCUUUGAACGCACAUUGCGCCCGCCAGUAUUCUGGCGGGCAUGCCUGUCUGAGCGUCAUUUCAACCCUCAGGACCCGUUCGCGGGACCUGGCGUUGGGGAUCAGCCUGCCCCUGGCGGCGGCUGGCCCUGAAAUCCAGUGGCGGUUCCCUCGCGAACUCCUCCGUGCAGUAAUUAAACCUCUCGCGGCAGGAUAGCGGUUGAACCACGCCGUUAAACCCCCACUUCUCAAGGUUGACCUCAGAUCAGGUAGGAAUACCCGCUGAACUUAAGCAUAUCAAUAAG
RNAcentral lists this ribosomal RNA (568 nucleotides) under uncultured Acremonium. RNAcentral's name for it is "eukaryotic LSU rRNA". The stretch from base 190 to 343 matches the Rfam family "5.8S ribosomal RNA". Lineage: Eukaryota; Fungi; Ascomycota. The record is from RNAcentral.